AGCUUUGCGCAGUGGCAGUAUUGUAGCCAAUGAGGUUUAUCCGAAGCGUGAUUAUUGCUAAUUGAAAAAUCAAGGCCCAGGACCUCUGGGUGGCUCAGUCUGUUAAAAGCAUCUGACUCUUGAUCUCAG
RNAcentral lists this small nuclear RNA (129 nucleotides) under Vulpes vulpes (red fox). Its description in RNAcentral is "U4 spliceosomal RNA (ENSVVUG00000029592.1)". The stretch from base 1 to 79 matches the Rfam family "U4 spliceosomal RNA". Rfam says of the family: U4 small nuclear RNA (U4 snRNA) is a component of the major U2-dependent spliceosome. The structure of U4 snRNA from yeast and human has been reported. U4 snRNA presents a k-turn RNA motif in the 5p-SL related to recognition of Snu13 protein. The record is from RNAcentral. Lineage: Eukaryota; Metazoa; Chordata; Mammalia; Carnivora; Canidae.